Molecule: long non-coding RNA, 377 nt
Organism: Oncorhynchus tshawytscha (Chinook salmon)
Lineage: Eukaryota; Metazoa; Chordata; Actinopteri; Salmoniformes; Salmonidae
Exons: 3
Source: RefSeq, a predicted model, not a curated record
UUGGUACUGAAAGGCUCAUAGGUUUUUGGACUGUUCGUUGUUAUUGAAGACUCUGUGUUGACUCCUCCAUCUGUGGCCGUAUGGGUCACACGUGCAGAAAGUACAAUAACUAGCUGCACUGCGCGAUACAAAUGCUCCAGGUGACAAAACCAACACACAGUCCAAGGGUUGCAGGUCUGCCAAUUUCCUUCUGGUCACACAUUCAGAGGCGGCCACUUGGAGGAGCACUCUUUUCUAUUUGAAAAUGCUUUUUUUUAUAUGUAUAUCUACUAGGGUGGAGAUCUGCCAUGCACUCCACCACUGCCCGACAGCCUCACACAGAAGUGCAUACACUGGGCCUGGCAAGACUGACAAAGCAGAGAUGGGUGGUUGACAAG